This 460-nucleotide ribosomal RNA is filed under the name uncultured bacterium. RNAcentral describes it as "partial 16S ribosomal RNA". It matches the Rfam family "Bacterial small subunit ribosomal RNA", at positions 338 to 795 of the family's 1533-position model. The record is from RNAcentral.
CCUACGGGGUGCAGCAGUGAGGAAUAUUGGUCAAUGGACGCAAGUCUGAACCAGCCAUGCCGCGUGCAGGAAGACGGCUCUAUGAGUUGUAAACUGCUUUUGUACGAGGGUAAACGCAGAUACGCGUAUCUGUCUGAAAGUAUCGUACGAAUAAGGAUCGGCUAACUCCGUGCCAGCAGCCGCGGUAAUACGGAGGAUUCAAGCGUUAUCCGGAUUUAUUGGGUUUAAAGGGUGCGUAGGCGGUCGGAUAAGUUAGAGGUGAAAUCCCGAGGCUCAACUUCGGAAUUGCCUCUGAUACUGUUCGGCUUGAGAGUAGUUGCGGUAGGCGGAAUGUAUGGUGUAGCGGUGAAAUGCUUAGAGAUCAUACAGAACACCGAUUGCGAAGGCAGCUUACCAAGCUACUUCUGACGUUGAGGCACGAAAGCGUGGGGAGCAAACAGGAUUAGAUACCCCAGUAGUC